CCAGUAGUCAUAUGCUUGUUUCAAAGAUUAAGCCAUGCAUGUCUAAGUUCACACCCUCGUACGGUGAAACCGCGAAUGGCUCAUUAAAUCAGUCGAGGUUCCUUAGAUGAUCCAUUUCUACUUGGAUAACUGUGGUAAUUCUAGAGCUAAUACAUGCCCAACAGCUCCGACCCCGGGCUUCGCGGUUCGGGGAAAGAGCGCUUUUAUUAGUUCAAAACCAGUCGGGGGUUUCGGCCCUCGUGCUUUGGUGACUCUGGAUAACUUUGAGCCGAUCGCAUGGCCUCGAGCCGGCGACGCAUCUUUCAAAUGUCUGCCCUAUCAAAUGACGACGGUACGUGAUCUGCCUACCGUGUUGACUACGGGUAGCGGGGAAUCAGGGUUCGAUUCCGGAGAGGGAGCAUGAGA
This 405-nucleotide ribosomal RNA is filed under the name Neothauma tanganyicense. RNAcentral's name for it is "SSU rRNA". It matches the Rfam family "Eukaryotic small subunit ribosomal RNA", at positions 17 to 401 of the family's 1831-position model. The record is from RNAcentral. Lineage: Eukaryota; Metazoa; Mollusca; Gastropoda; Architaenioglossa; Viviparidae.